GUGGAUACUGGAACUGAAGUGAGAGUAUGUGAUCCCUGUGUGAUCAUGACAGGAGUUUAUGACACAGACAACACUAAAGUGUAUUUAUCUGAUGUGACUGCAGCGCAAACAAAACACACCACAAACCGGCAAAAAGCCACCGUGCUGGGUUGCAGAGCUGCUGCGAUGCAAUUUCAAUUAAAGGUACUUACAAAGUGAGGGGAGAACCUCCUGUCAAACUCACGCUGAGCCAAGAUUCCUCCCUGCCCAGGAGCACUAGUGAAACCAACCU
This is a long non-coding RNA of Athene cunicularia (burrowing owl), 271 nucleotides long. RefSeq lists it as uncharacterized. Lineage: Eukaryota; Metazoa; Chordata; Aves; Strigiformes; Strigidae. The transcript is spliced from 2 exons. The record is from RefSeq and is a predicted model, not a curated record.